Pelobates cultripes (western spadefoot toad) is the source of this 302-nucleotide non-coding RNA. NCBI's taxonomy places the organism in Eukaryota, Metazoa, Chordata, Amphibia, Anura, Pelobatidae. The record is from the annotation of a GenBank genome assembly.
CUUAUAAUAAGUGCCAUCAAACCCAUCCGGGCCUGGCCCUUUGUUAGCCCUUAGGCCUGUGAUAGCCAAAUUAAUUUCCUCCUUGUUUAUCAAGGCACCUAGUGAGUGCAGUUGCUCAUCAUUCAAUCUGGGCAUCUCCAGGAAUACUCAGAUGGCCUCCGUGUAAACCUCAUUUGAGCCAUUGUAGGUGAUUGGAAUGGUUGUAUAAAGCUGAAAAUAAAUCUGUGUAUAUCCUGUUAGUUUCUUAGGGGUUGUUGCUUAGUUUGCCUUCCUUGUACUUAAUGGCUGCAAUUAGAGUAGCC